UACGUAGGGUGCAAGCGUUGUCCGGAAUUAUUGGGCGUAAGGAGCUCGUAGGCGGUUCGUCGCGUCGGCUGUGAAAUCCCGAGGCUCAACCUCGGGUCUGCAGUCGAUACGGGCGGACUGGAGUUCGGCAGGGGAGACUGGAAUUCCUGGUGUAGCGGUGAAAUGCGCAGAUAUCAGGAGGAACACCGGUGGCGAAGGCGGGCUCCUGGGACCGAUGACUGACGCUGAGGAGCGAAAGC
RNAcentral lists this ribosomal RNA (239 nucleotides) under uncultured bacterium. Its description in RNAcentral is "partial 16S ribosomal RNA". It matches the Rfam family "Bacterial small subunit ribosomal RNA", at positions 524 to 760 of the family's 1533-position model. The record is from RNAcentral.